UGCUUUGCGGCUAGAGAUUCUUUCCCAACGCUAAACCGCUCUAGGAGAAAUCCACCAGCCCUCCCAGAGCAGAACACUUCACUUUGAAAAACACACACACACUCCAAAAACCCCGUCCUCUCCCAGGAAACGACUUCUCCCAGAAGUUACUAGCGGAAGCAGAACAGCUGAGUCAACCAAGAGGAACUGCUCCACCUCAGACUGGGCCCUCCUUCAGUCUCCACUUGAGCCGCUGUUCCUGCAUCGCAGGGGUUUGGACUAGAUGGUCCCUGAGGUUCCCUUUCCAGCUGUACAUCUCUAUGAUUCUACAUGGAAAACUCAAACAAGGACACGGUGCUGUUGGAGGGAGAAAAUGACCUAGCAUCUUUUCAACACUCCUGUAGCUGUCAAACCCUCAUUAGCCGCAGCUAAAUUUAGUUCCAAGACCACCGUCUUCCAAUUUGCGCAUCACGCCAGAGAGCCCCAGGACGAUGCCAGCGGAACGGAUGGCUCACCGUCACGGGGUCUCCACUCGCCGCAGUCCUGGCAAGGGCUGUGUCGUUCUUGCAUCACCCUGGGCUCCUUCUUCUUCUGCUUCUCACACUCCUCCUACGUCACCCAAGGACCCGGGACAGUCCGGGGAACACACACAGGAUUGCAUUUCCCUCUGGCCUCCCAAAGACCAAGAGCAUUACAGGGCCCACAAAAGCUGCAGAGAAGGAAGGAAGGAAAGAAAAGGGGAGGGGGGAGAGAGAGAUCCAGCCUUUUCCUCCUCUUCUUCCUCUCCCUGCCUCAGCCACAACUGUGUCCCUAUCCCAGUCACAAAUCCCCACCAAGUCCUUGCAAAAUGCAUUCCUGCCCAGGAUUAGGCAACGGGCAUUAACGGCUUUUGUAAGAGACUUAGAAAUUCUUGCAGCAUCCCUUCUAGAGGAGAAGAAGAAGAAGAAGAAGAAGAACAUCAUACACAAUACACAAAUCCACCCUCAUUAAACGUGAACAUAACA
Non-coding RNA from Podarcis muralis (Common wall lizard), 983 nucleotides. The record is from RefSeq and is a predicted model, not a curated record. Lineage: Eukaryota; Metazoa; Chordata; Lepidosauria; Squamata; Lacertidae.